AGAACGAACGCUGGCGGCGUGCCUAACACAUGCAAGUCGAGCGCGAAAAGGGCAACCUGAGUAGAGCGGCGCGCGGGUGCGUAACACGUGGGUAAUCUGCCUUAGAGUCAGGGAUAACUUUCCGAAAGGUUAGCUAAUACCUGGUAAGCUUACGGUGUCUACGGACAUUGUGGGAAAAGUAGGCCUCUAUUUAUAAGCUUACGCUCUGAGAUGAGCCCGCGGCCCAUCAGCUAGUUGGCGGGGUAACGGCCCACCAAGGCAACGACGGGUAGCUGGUCUGAGAGGACGAUCAGCCACACUGGAACUGAGACACGGUCCAGACUCCUACGGGAGGCAGCAGUGGGGAAUUUUCCACAAUGGGCGAAAGCCUGAUGGAGCAACGCCGCGUGUGUGAUGAAGGUUUUCGGAUCGUAAAGCACUUUCGACCGGGACGAAAAACCUCUGGCUAACAUCCAGGGGCCUGACGGUACCGGGAGAAGAAGCACCGGCUAACUCUGUGCCAGCAGCCGCGGUAAUACAGAGGGUGCAAGCGUUGUUCGGAAUUAUUGGGCGUAAAGCGCGUGUAGGCGGCUUGGCAAGUCAGAUGUGAAAGCCCUCGGCUUAACCGAGGAAGUGCGUCUGAAACUGCUGAGCUUGAGUGUCGGAGAGGAUGGCGGAAUUCCGCAAGUAGAGGUGAAAUUCGUAGAUAUGCGGAGGAACACCGGUGGCGAAGGCGGCCAUCUGGACGACUACUGACGCUGAGACGCGAAAGCGUGGGGAGCAAACAGGAUUAGAUACCCUGGUAGUCCACGCUGUAAACGAUGAGAACUAGGUGUCGUGGGUGUUGACCCCCGCGGUGCCGCAGCUAACGCAUUAAGUUCUCCGCCUGG
This 869-nucleotide ribosomal RNA is filed under the name uncultured bacterium. Its description in RNAcentral is "bacterial SSU rRNA". It matches the Rfam family "Bacterial small subunit ribosomal RNA", at positions 26 to 876 of the family's 1533-position model. The record is from RNAcentral.